Molecule: long non-coding RNA, 1288 nt
Organism: Papaver somniferum (opium poppy)
Lineage: Eukaryota; Viridiplantae; Streptophyta; Magnoliopsida; Ranunculales; Papaveraceae
Exons: 8
Source: RefSeq, a predicted model, not a curated record
CUCAGUCUCUCGAUUCUCUUCCAUCAUGUCUGAAAUUCGAAGAUUUCUGAGAUCUCAAAUCCCAAAUCAAACUAAACUAUUUAUUUUUCGCCUUAGGGUUUUGAGGUUUGCAUAUAAAAGUUGUUUUAGGGUUCAGUCUCUUCUCUAGUCUCCAAAAACUCUCAAGACCAGCAGCACAAAGAAGAAGAAAUGACCUAAAUUUCUCAUUUCCUUGGUUUUUGAUUUGAGAGAUCGUGAAGAGGAACAAUACUUUCCUCGUCAAAGAGUUUGGAAAUGGAAAUCAGAUGGUUCAGUUCAGUAAAGAACCUAACAAUCUCUACAACGUUAACUCCUUCAAACACUCUGGUUAGCAAAUGCAAAGACUGUUUCAGUCAAGCUGGAAAAGAUUGAAGGUGUUGUUCUUGCUACUACUAAUCCUAACAAACAAAAGAACCCUUCAAGUUUGGUGGGGAAAACUAUCAUGAAGAAGAAAAUCAGUAGAAUGGCUAAGGUUGUUGCCAAACUACCUCAUCUCUCCAAUUUGGCGUACAAACAAGUGGCUCUGCCUGACGUUGAAGUCGGUUCAUACGUCUUGGUCAGAGUUGGCCGCAGAGAUUGAGAGGCGUACCGAGAAUCAUAAUUAGAAACUACUACUGCUUGGGGAUGGAGAGUCACGGAAGUCUACAACCUUUAAGCAGGUAGAAAACCAAAAGUUUUCUUAUAAUUGAAAAUCAAACAACAUAUUUUGCAUUCAGUCUUGUGAUAUAGGAAGGUAUGAAGUAGGCUACAGGGGAAUGGGGGUGUAAUUGCAUUUCCGGAGCGCCAAGAUUCCAUGUAUAGGAUGGGGGAGGGAAAGGUUGUUCCCAUCUUGGUAAUUGAAGGAUGGAACUUAAUUAAUACUUUCCAUUUACAAGAGAUUGCUGAGCUCCGGGGAAUCCCUUCUUACUGGAUGGACAGCGAGUAGAGAAUAGGACCAGGAAAUACAAUAAGCUUUAAGUUGCUUAAUGUACCUGUUGUUGUACUGCUCAGAUUUCUUCGAGAGCAUCGAUCUGAAUAGGCAGAUAGUGCCUGAUGAGCCCACUGUUGAAGACAAAUAGGAUGAUAACGAGGACAACGAUGAUGAGCAUGAUGAUGUUGAAGGUAAUUGAACACCAUCGAAAUAAGAUUUUUUUUUUUUUUUUUGUGACGUCACUAAUAUUUGUUUUAUCGUGUGAAUCUAAUAUUUGUGGAUGUUGCCCUUUAUGAUUUUAAUCAUUCCUUAAAAUGUCAUUGUAAUUUGAUCCAUUGGCAGUAUCACAUUACAUGAAUU